CGACCCCAGGUCGGGCGGGACCACCCGCUGAGUUUAA
RNAcentral lists this unclassified non-coding RNA (37 nucleotides) under Casearia aculeata. RNAcentral's name for it is "ITS2". The record is from RNAcentral. Lineage: Eukaryota; Viridiplantae; Streptophyta; Magnoliopsida; Malpighiales; Salicaceae. RNAcentral also lists the same sequence under 1 other name.